Molecule: long non-coding RNA, 1135 nt
Organism: Amphiprion ocellaris (clown anemonefish)
Lineage: Eukaryota; Metazoa; Chordata; Actinopteri; Pomacentridae
Source: Ensembl
CGACGAGUCACCAUGGCAACGGGGAAGCAGAGGACUACACCAUUUGAAUUGGAAAUCUUAAUGCGCUUAUAUAGCGAGUUUGAACAUGUUUUUAGAAAGAAGUGCAGCACCUGCAGCUGCAAAAGAGAGGAAGACUGUCAGAGGACUCUAAGCGGCUACUCUCCAACCAGGAACCGCUCGCUGUGAUGAACGACACGGAGGCUUCUUUGUACUUGCAGCAAAGGGGAGAAGCGCAUGUGGCAGCAGCUGAAGAUGAAAUAUAAGAACAUUUUUAAAACAGAUUCUGAUGGUACUAUCUGCCUGGUGGAGUCCCUUCACACCACAACAGACCUUGUAACUGUAAGUAGGCAAUACUCCAGAGAUUUAGCCAGAUGGUAGUUUAAGUCUACUGAAACAUAUUCAAAUGGUAGUUUAAGUCUACUGAAACAUAUCACUCAUCUAGGAUGAAGAGGAUGAAACUGUGUCUGCUGCCUUUACAGAGGGGGAUCCAGAAAGGCACACAGAGAGCAUGGCUGGACAGCAGCAGGAUGCUUCCUCAACUUCCACUGCACAGACUGACACAGUGAGAUGGAUGUUCAGUAAACACCAGAGGUUCAGUCCAUGGAAUUCACGUGCAACUGUAUAAUUUAAUGUCCUUUAUGUAUUCCCAGUUACCAGUAAAACAAAUAUACAAAAUCCACUUGCUGAGAAAAAUCCAAAAAACAGAUAAAGAAAUGCAGUACUUGGACCACCAGAUUAAGAAGGCAGAUCUGGAAAUUGAAAUACUGGAGCACAAGUUAGAGGUGGAUGCAGGUCACAGGUGAAUUAUGUUAACUACUGGAACAUGAACUAAACUAGCUCUUUUAUUUGUAGGAAAUAAAGAAGACCAAAUGAAAUGUGUGUCGUGUUUAUUUCACUGCUGUGGUGGUGAUGAUGGAGACUUAAUCUCUGCAGUGAUUAUUGCAUAUGGUGUCUCUGACUGCUCUGCUGUCCUGAUAGCUGGCAGGUGGAUGAGGUCAUCAUCUGGGUCUUCAGUUUGUAGGGCAGAGUGUUGCUCUCCUCUAAUAGUGGCAAUAUUAUGAAGAACAACACAUGCCACAAUAAUAUCACAGGCCUCUCAGGAGUCACCCUGAGGUGAUGUAGACACUGGAAACAG